Molecule: RNA transcript, 1367 nt
Organism: Vespa crabro (European hornet)
Lineage: Eukaryota; Metazoa; Arthropoda; Insecta; Hymenoptera; Vespidae
Gene: mRpL28
Gene name: 39S ribosomal protein L28, mitochondrial
Exons: 8
Source: RefSeq, a predicted model, not a curated record
CUUGUAGUAUCGGAUAAAGAUAGCUUUUGCUGUCGGAUAAAAUUUCCGUACUUCGCUAUUAUUUGCAUUUUCAAUGUUCGUAAAAUAAAAUAUUUGUAAUACAGAAUUAUUAAAAUCUAUGAUAAAGAUAUAUAAUUAAAUAGUAAAAGUUUUUAAAUUGAAAAGAUAUAAACUUGACAAAUAUGUCUGUCAAUAAAAUUCAGUCGUUAUAUUAUUUUCCGAGAGUAACUCGAUGGUCUAAGGGAAUAGGAGCAGAAUUACCGGAAGAAUAUAAAAAAUUUUGGAAGGAGUGGAAACUUCGACAACCGACUGCAGUUCAUUACAUAAAACAACAAGAAAAAUAUAUUAGAAAUGAAAAAACAGGAGAAGUUCAUCCGGUACAAAAUACUCCAAUUCCUUUGAAAUAUCCAAAAGAGUUUGAACAAUAUAUAUUGGGCGGAGAAGCUGUAAUCCAAGGCUUUCGACAACGUGAAAAGUAUUGUCGCAGAUAUCCUCAUUUUUGGUUUCCUUUAUUAAAAAAAUCUGUCCUGUAUAGUGAAGUUUUAGAUUCGUAUAUGAGAGUAAUUGUUACACAAAGAACCAUUCUUUUAAUUCAUGAAAACUACGGAUUUGAUCAUUAUUUAUUGAAGACUCCUGCGUGCGAUUUAAAGUCAGAACUAGCUGUAAAACUAAAGCGACAAAUACUUAUAGCAUUGGCAGAUAAAACAUUAUAUCCAAAUGACGAAGCCAAACGGGACAAAGUAUAUGCCAAGUAUUCACAAUAUUUAUCUUCGUAUACGCGAGAAGAAAUCGAAUGGUAUGGUUUAACAUACAAGGACGCAUGUAAGAAAUGGAUUGCUUUGAAAAAAGAGGAGAAUAAAGUACAGCCAUUAAAAAUUCUAUACAGAUCUGAAUUAAUAGCAAAACUUAAAGAAAAUAAUGUUAAAGAAGCACAGGAUACUGAUGUCCUACUAAAGGAAAAGGACGGUGAUUUGUGGAUAUCCAAAUGGAAUCCAUUUUCAAAGGGCUCAGGAACCAAAUAGGUUAUUAUAACCAACUAUAGCCAUUAAGCAAGAUUGACAGCAAAAAACAAAUGCACACAUGCAGACAGACGUGAUACAAGUGGAAUGGGAAUUGAGUUUCUUUUAUAGAAAGAUCGAAACUUUCUAGAGAAGACUGUUAUCAGAAAACCAGGAACUUAUCGUCUAUACCUCCACAAUCGAAAGAUAUAAGACUUUUCGUAAUAUCGAAGACAAUACAUUACUGUACCUAGAUGAACGUUCUUGAGGGGCAUGACCACAAGAGGCCGGCCCAACAUAUUCUGCCAGCUAGACUUCAAGAAAUUAAUUUCGCCUUUGAAUAUGUCAAUCAUGAGCUCAUAGUCCGAU